Molecule: ribosomal RNA, 2697 nt
Filed under: Triticum aestivum (bread wheat)
Lineage: Eukaryota; Viridiplantae; Streptophyta; Magnoliopsida; Poales; Poaceae
Description: partial small subunit ribosomal RNA
Source: RNAcentral
AUGGCNNNNNNNNNNNNNNNNNNNAGGGAUUACGCGGCGAGCAUGAGGUGCAAGACAGGGGCGGAGGGGCUGCUUCUCUUGGGAAUCGAGGAUCUCCCGCCUCUCAGGGCGCCGAGGUGCCGGUGGUGGGCGGACGAACUCGCCUCCGCCGUGGCUGCCGCAGCUGGGGCGGCGUCCCCGAGGAGGGCGCCAGGGAAGGCGAAGCCGACGAAGAAGCGGUCCAUCUCCGACCUCUUCGCCGCGGCGCCCCCCUUGGCCGCGCCCCCCGCCGGUGAUGCCGGAUGCAAAGAGCAAACGGAGGUGGACGACGACGAGGCGCUGUGCGCGAUCGCGAGGCGGGCCAAGGAGGAGAAGAAACGGAAGAGAAAGCUGCAAGAAGAGGAGGCGGGGCAGAAGGAGGAGACGGCGGCAGUUGCUGCCGCGCCGGAGAGCAGCGGAGGCCGGGAGCCCAAGGGGAAUUUCGCUGCCAGCAAGGAAGCACUUGAAAGUCCAAACCUGUUUGAUGGACUGGAUACUCACUCAUCACAGAAAACUGAGGCCUCACAACAUCACAGAGAAGAGAGAGAAAAGAUAUCUGAGAGAAGGAAGCAAGGGAAGAUCAAUAAUAUAAAUAAGAAGAAGGCUGGCACACAAAAGCACAUGGACAGCAAUAAAGCCAACAAAGUGGGGAAACCACGAGAUCUGGAAAAUUUUAUCCCUAGGCAUGGCAUUUUAAAGUGCACAAAGCACACAUCAGUGAAAAUGGUCAAGGAGAAACGUGGCAAUUCAGAAGGCAAGGGAGUAAUAGAACUCUGCCGCAAAUCAGUGAAACGUGUCAAAUUCUCAGAAGCAGAUGCUAUACUUGAGCUACCAGAACGACAAAGUCUCUGCAAGAUGUUUUCAGAUGCUAUGGCUUCUUCAUCGUCCUCCUCAUCAUCAUCGUCAUUCACGUCUACCGAAGCAGACAAAUGCAUAUCUGCAGAAAGUGGUAGUUCUCAUAUGCCCAUGGAAGCUUUCACUAAGGCGAAAGAAGCAAAUAAGAAUUCAGAUCAUGAGGAUUCUCCAGACAAAUGCGUAACUGCAGAAAGUGGUACUUCUCAUAUUCCCAUGGAAGCUUUCACUAAGGCGAAAGAAGCAAAUAAGAAUUCAGAUCAUGAGGAUUCUCCAGACAAAUGCAUAACUGCAGAAAGUGGCACUUCUCAUAUUCCCAUGGAAGCUUUCACUAAGACGAAAGAAGGAAAUAAGAAUUCAGAUCACGAGGGUUCUCCUGAGCCUGGUAGCAGAGAGAUGUCAACUCCUUUGAUUGAUUUGAAUAUGGCGUUAUCAGAAUCUACUGAAUCGGACCAAAGUUAUGAUUCAUAUUCAGAGGUGCCAAAUCUGGAGCAUACACAUGAGGAAACUUUAAGUUCUCAUGUCCAAUUGCUUCAUGAGAGAGAAAACCGGAUGAAUUUUUCUGUUGUUUCACACAGACUGGAAAGUGAACAAUCUAGUGCUGACUUGGAAAGAACAACGAAUUCAAGUUCGGCGGGCACAUUUUUGCAUGGUGAGGCGAUAAAAGUUUCUGAUGUAGAUGCUGCUGGUCCUCCAUUGAGCUUAACUGAACUUGCUGAGACUCAUCGUGGUUGCAGUAAUAUUUCAGUAAAAGAUACUAUGACUAUGAGUACGUCCCCUUGUGCAUUGCCAGAUCAUACAUUUCAGGAUUCAUUUGGGCAGCACCAGAGUUGGUUUUCCACCAGCGGCAAAUUUUCUUCCGGGCCAUCUCAUGAAUCUAAUGUGUCACACAGUAAGGAGUUAAAUUUUCGUUCUCAGUUGAACGUGCCGAGUGAGAAUGGACCUUCCACAGGACAGACAGUUCGUUUGAUGGGUAAAGAUCUUCCAGUUUGCACGACCAGAGCUGAAUCGUUUUCCGAGACUGCGCGCAAGCAUACAGGUACUUUCACCAAUGACUACCUGAACGCAAAUGUGUUCUUGCCACAACAAGGACGGCCUUUUCUCUCUUUACAAGCUCAGAAUUUCCCCAAUGAUACAGUAAAUUCUACCAGUAUAACUCAUGCUUCAACAUAUCAUGCAAGCGCAAGUCAGGCACGGACUACACAUGAUUACAGCCACCCUUUCCCUGCAGCUAAUGUACUUUCUGGAGAUCAGUUGCCAUAUGAAAACAGGUUUGUUGAUUUUUCAAACUCGCAGACCAAUCAGCCUUUUUUAUUGGGCUACCAACCUCCUCCCAAUCAUGGCAGUGCAGCAUUCCAACAGAAUUCCCCGUCGCGCCGUUAUUAUUCUGAUCCUAUCACUAGAACUGAACCACCCACAGCACCACCUUUGCCUACAACCAGACAGCAUGGUGCACCAUCUUCAGGUUUCCAUGCCAAUUUGCCUCAGCAACAUGUUGUGCAUUCAGCAAGCUCAUCAUUGGGUUUUACAUUCAACUAUCCAGGCCAGGUAGUUCAAGCAACUUCCAACAGCAUAAGAGAUCUGACCCUUUCGGCCAGAAAUACAGACAACAGAAUGGGGAGCGCUGUUCUUGGCAAUUCCAAUGCUUCGCCUAGUGUUCGCUAUGUGCAGAAGAGAUCAGGCCCAGUGAAGCUCACUCCUGGUGCGAAGCAUGUACUGGUGCCAAGCGAUUGCACAGGUGAUGGCGAUUCUGCGCCUGUGUACUCCUGUGUUUCGUUCAGAAGUAGGAACACAAAUGCUGCAUGUCCUCAGAACAAAGGAGCAUGA